UUGAUCCUGGCUCAGGACGAACGUUGGCUGUGUGCCUUAGGUAUGCAAGUCGAACGGUACGCUAUUCUUAUAGUCGCUUGCGACUAUAAGUUAGAUUACAGUGGCAAACGGGUGAGUAACGCGUAGGUAACCUGCCUUAAAGUCGGGAAUAGCUCAGCGAAAGUUGAGGUAAUACUCGAUAGUCUCCAAUCACUUCGGUGUUUUGGAGUAAAGUUUCGGCGCUUUAAGAGGGGCCUGCGUCCUAUCAGCUAGUUGGUGAGGUAAAAGCUCACCAAGGCUAAGACGGGUAGCUGGUGUGAGAGCAUGUUCAGCCACCAUGGAACUGAGACACGGUCCAUACUCCUACGGGAGGCAGCAAUUAGGAAUCUUGCGCAAUGGGGGCAACCCUGACGCAGCGACACAGCGUGGAGGAGGAAGGUCUUCGGAUUGUAAACUCCUUUUAUGAGGGACGAAUAGAUGACGGUACCUCUUGAAUAAGUACCUGCUAACUACGUGCCAGAAGCAUCGGUGAUGCGUAGGGUACAAACGUUAUCCGGAGUUAUUGGGCGUAAAGAGAUGCGUAGGCGGCUUAAUAAGUCUAAGGUUAAAGUCCACGGCUCAACCGUGGAAAAGCUUUGGAUACUGUUAGGCUUGAGAUAUAGAGGGGUGAAUGGAAUUCCAAGUGGAGUGGUGAAAUACGUUGAUAUUUGGAAGAACACCAGUGGCGAAGGCGAUUCACUGGCUAUUAUCUGACGCUAAGGCUCGAAAGUAUGGGUAGCAAAACGGAUUAGAUACCCGUGUAGUCCAUACCGUAAACGAUGAAUGCUAGGUGUUUGACUCAAC
RNAcentral lists this ribosomal RNA (822 nucleotides) under uncultured organism. RNAcentral's name for it is "bacterial SSU rRNA". It matches the Rfam family "Bacterial small subunit ribosomal RNA", at positions 13 to 833 of the family's 1533-position model. The record is from RNAcentral.